Molecule: RNA transcript, 3414 nt
Organism: Eleginops maclovinus (Patagonian blennie)
Lineage: Eukaryota; Metazoa; Chordata; Actinopteri; Perciformes; Eleginopidae
Gene: uvssa
Gene name: UV-stimulated scaffold protein A
Exons: 16
Source: RefSeq, a predicted model, not a curated record
CCGUAACGGAAGUAGCUGUGUUGUUGGAAAGGAGGAAGAUAAAGCUACCAAAGGCUGUCAAUAUUUUUUAUAGUGUCUGGUUAAUAUAUAUAACCAUAAAUAAAACCAUUCAUCAUGAAUGGACUUCCGGUUGCUGUGGUCACCUGGAGAUAACGUCUGAAACCCUGCUGAGCUUCAGUAGACCCGUGCCGUCAGGUGAUGGAGUUGUCUCAGAGGGACCGGCUGUCGGAGCUGGUGGAGGAGCUGACCACAUCAGGACAGCCCCAGCUCAACCCGGACCGGAUGAAGGACAUGAAGAGGAUCUGCAAAGCAUCUAACGACUGCAUAGAGCACGUGUACAACUCUGUGAUGUCCCAGCUCAACCAGGAACACGCUGAGGUCCGACUCUCCGCCUUCCAGAUCGCCACGGAGCUCUUCUCCAGGUCUCACCACUUCAGGACGCUGCUGGUGGACAACUUCCAGGAGUUCUUGGAGUUGACAGUAGAGACGGAUUCGGAGCAGCCCCUCCCCCCUCCUAAGGAAAUAGCCAGGAAGCUGAGGGCACAGGCCAUCCAGGCUGUCCAAUCAUGGCAGGCCUCCUAUGGGACAGCCUAUAAGAAGUUAGCAUUAGGCUUCCACUUCCUCAAACAGGUGAAGAAGGUGGACUUCCAGGACGCUGAGGCCCGGACGGUGGCCGAGAGGACGAGGGAGGAGGAGAGGCGGAGGAAAAUGGAGAAGAUCUACAAGGAGAGAGUGGAGGCAGCCUCCAAUGACAUGGAGGAGUCGUAUCUGGAAAUCCAGGCCACGCUGACAGAGAUGGAGUCCUGUAUGAGCCUGCUCAUCCCAGGGUUCCACCUCACAGACAGCCAGACGACCAAUAGCAGCCAUCCAAACUCCCAGCCAGCCAAUGAACUGUCCUCAGUGGAUGAAGAGCCCUGCUGCAGCAAAGAACUGCAGGAGGACCGGACAGAGGAGGAGGAAGUCAAAAGCAAAGAAGAGGGAAAGAUCGGAGACAUAAAGGAGGAGAAGGGUUUAGAGAGGAGGGGGGUGGAUGAGCAGGAGGAAGAAGAAGAGGAGGAGGAGGAGAGUGGUGAGGAGGAGGAGAGUGGUGAGGAGGAGGAGGGGGGGGAGGAGCCUCCUAAUCAAGACACAUUUAUCCGGAGCUCUGGGCUUAUUUCUCAUUCCUACAACCUGGACCUGAACCUCAGCCCUGGUCUUCACGUCAGGGAGACGGAGGAUAAUGAGGCCGUGGUUUCCACGGUGAUAGACCUCCAUCGACUGAUAAUGAGCAAACACCUCCCAGCUGUGCAGGGCUGGGUUCAGGUCUUCACUAAGGCCUAUGCUGAGCAGCGGCUCCUGCAGAGGGCUCUGGAUCUGAAGAGGAGUUUGGAGGCAGCGCUGCAGAAACACAAAGAGCUCCACAUCGACUACAAGACCAGACACCGCAGAGUGGUGAAGGCUACAGAUGGAGAGGAAGACGAUGAUGAUGAUGAUGACGACGAUGAUGACUUCAAUGAGGUUCCAGAGAAAGAGGGAUAUGAGCCACACAUUCCAGAGCACCUACGAGCUGAGUAUGGUCUGGAUCCGCUCCCCUCCACCUCUGCAGCACCAGCCACAAAGAGAGCUCCCGGUAAAGCUCCUGCAGCUGCACCUCCUCCCUCCUUUUCCUCCAUUAAGUGGCUGAAGCGUCUUAUGGAUGAUGAGGAGCAGGAUCCUACGUGUGCAGCGGCCACUCAGCGCCACGUCACUCAGAACCUCCCUCUGCCUGCAGAACCCAGGAUACUCCAUCAGCAAGCAGGAGUCUAUGGAAAACCCCCAAACCUGCUAAGAAAGGGUUCUUCUCCUGAGAAAGGCUCCAGUGGCUCCUCGGGGCCCAGCUCCUCUCAGAAGGCUGCUGAUGCUCCUGUGGUUCCGUUUGGUCUGGACCUGUACUACUGGGGCCAAGAGCAGCCCAACGCUGGCAAGAUCAUCAAGUCGGCCUCCCAGCAUCAGUUCUGGGUUCCCAUCGAUGUUGACGAGGAGGUGGAGAACAAGGAGCUGCUGGCAGAGAGCCGCAGCAGAUACAUCUCCUUCCCCGGGAGCUUCACUCCGGUCAGCCAUCACUGCAGAGCGCCUCUGGAGGACGGGAAGCUGUGCCAGAGACAGGACCGCCUCAAGGUACUGGGAAACAAACACCACUCCCAGGGCGGGUUGGGAGCCGGCUCCAGAUUCCGAACCAUUUGUUUGUGUUUCCACUGCAUCGUGCUGGCUCUGGGACCCAAAAACGUGUCCUUUCCAUGGACGCAUUGUUCCUCGAGACCCGGUAGGGAGACCCUGCAGACUGGAGGACCGGCUGAGGGAGGAGAAGGAGGAGAGGAAGAGGAGGGAGGAGCAGCCGGACUGGCGGGACGCAGAGCUCAUGCGGGACAUCGAGGCAGCCACAGGUGAAGACCUGGGCUCUGACAGGCUGGGUAAAAAAAGGAAAGGGAAGAAGAAGAAGUACCCGAACCUCAGCGACCUGAAGCAGAGCGCCAACACGUCCCGCUCCAGGCUGGAGAAGAAAGUCCUCAACAAGAGCGCCAUGCGCAGAGUAGCUGAGGUGAUGAGUAAAGCUGACGGCAGGAAACACGACAAGUUCUCCAACCAGUUCAACUACGCCAUCCACUGACCUGCAGAUCACUGCAUUCACAUUCUGACUCGGAUGAAGACAUGAUUCUCAUAAUAGGAAGAUUUAAAAGAAGGACCUGUGUGUAGCUUCUGUCAUGCCUAAUGAAGUACAACUCUUCAGCCUUCAAAUGCCUAGUUUACACUUUGUAUAACUGAUUGAAUUUGUAUGCAUGUUUUUCUGUAACUACUCUUUGAAUUUGUUUAACUUGUGUUUUUUAAAGACCAUGAACUGACAUGAUGAAGGUAAAAAUGUGUAUAUCUUUCGUGUGUGUGUGUGUGUGUGUGUGUGUGUGUGUGUGUGUGUGUGUGUGUGUGUGUGUGUGUGUGUGUGUGUGUGUGUGUGUGUGUGUGUGUGUGUGUGUGUGUGUGUGUGUGUGUGUGUGUUCCAUGUCGAUAUUUUUAUUUAUAAAUCUGUUUUGUUCUUAUUGUGAUCAGUUCGUUGGAAUUAAUAUCUUGGUUAUAAAGUGAAAAUAUCUAUUGUUCUGUAAGCUGUCCUUGCAGUCUGAUUACAUUAAGAUGAUAGGAGGCACGUUAAAGCAAGACUACUGAACACCAACACAAGGAAAACUGAAAUCAUUCAGCAAAGAAACAUUCAAAAAGCUGAUCUGACUUUUAGACUUUGGUGUGCAUUCAAAAGGUACUGGAUCCUACAUUUCCCAUAAUGCAACAAAAUCUUCUUUUAGUUAGACUUGUUCAGAUUGGUGCUUUCUGCAAUAAACACAUUACCUUAAUGACGGUUGGUUUGUGAUCAUUGUGAUAAUGAAUAAAGUCAUCACUGGUACAAAUGUU